GAUGAACGCUGGCGGCGUGCCUAAUACAUGCAAGUCGAGCGAACAGACGAGGAGCUUGCUCCUCUGACGUUAGCGGCGGACGGGUGAGUAACACGUGGAUAACCUACCUAUAAGACUGGGAUAACUUCGGGAAACCGGAGCUAAUACCGGAUAAUAUAUUGAACCGCAUGGUUCAAUAGUGAAAGACGGUUUUGCUGUCACUUAUAGAUGGAUCCGCGCCGCAUUAGCUAGUUGGUAAGGUAACGGCUUACCAAGGCGACGAUGCGUAGCCGACCUGAGAGGGUGAUCGGCCACACUGGAACUGAGACACGGUCCAGACUCCUACGGGAGGCAGCAGUAGGGAAUCUUCCGCAAUGGGCGAAAGCCUGACGGAGCAACGCCGCGUGAGUGAUGAAGGUCUUCGGAUCGUAAAUCUCUGUUAUUAGGGAAGAACAAAUGUGUAAGUAACUAUGCACGUCUUGACGGUACCUAAGCAGAAAGCCACGGCUAACUACGU
This 496-nucleotide ribosomal RNA is filed under the name uncultured bacterium. Its description in RNAcentral is "partial 16S ribosomal RNA". It matches the Rfam family "Bacterial small subunit ribosomal RNA", at positions 28 to 506 of the family's 1533-position model. The record is from RNAcentral.